RNAcentral lists this ribosomal RNA (1531 nucleotides) under Burkholderiales bacterium. Its description in RNAcentral is "bacterial SSU rRNA". It matches the Rfam family "Bacterial small subunit ribosomal RNA". The record is from RNAcentral. Lineage: Bacteria; Pseudomonadati; Pseudomonadota; Betaproteobacteria; Burkholderiales.
AAACUGAAGAGUUUGAUCCUGGCUCAGAUUGAACGCUAGCGGCAUGCCUUACACAUGCAAGUCGAACGGCAGCGCGGACUUCGGUCUGGCGGCGAGUGGCGAACGGGUGAGUAAUGCAUCGGAACGUGCCCAGUAGCGGGGGAUAACUACGCGAAAGCGUAGCUAAUACCGCAUACGCCCUACGGGGGAAAGGGGGGGAUCGCAAGACCUCUCACUAUUGGAGCGGCCGAUGUCGGAUUAGCUAGUUGGUGGGGUAAAGGCCUACCAAGGCGACGAUCCGUAGCUGGUUUGAGAGGACGACCAGCCACACUGGGACUGAGACACGGCCCAGACUCCUACGGGAGGCAGCAGUGGGGAAUUUUGGACAAUGGGGGCAACCCUGAUCCAGCCAUGCCGCGUGUGCGAAGAAGGCCUUCGGGUUGUAAAGCACUUUUGGCGGGAAAGAAACGGCGCCGGAUAAUACCUGGCGUAACUGACGGUACCCGCAGAAUAAGCACCGGCUAACUACGUGCCAGCAGCCGCGGUAAUACGUAGGGUGCAAGCGUUAAUCGGAAUUACUGGGCGUAAAGCGUGCGCAGGCGGUUCGGAAAGAAAGAUGUGAAAUCCCAGGGCUCAACCUUGGAACUGCAUUUUUAACUCCCGAACUAGAGUAUGUCAGAGGGGGGUGGAAUUCCACGUGUAGCAGUGAAAUGCGUAGAUAUGUGGAGGAACACCGAUGGCGAAGGCAGCCCCCUGGGAUAAUACUGACGCUCAUGCACGAAAGCGUGGGGAGCAAACAGGAUUAGAUACCCUGGUAGUCCACGCCCUAAACGAUGUCAACUAGCUGUUGGGUUCUUCGGAGCUUGGUAGCGCAGCUAACGCGUGAAGUUGACCGCCUGGGGAGUACGGUCGCAAGAUUAAAACUCAAAGGAAUUGACGGGGACCCGCACAAGCGGUGGAUGAUGUGGAUUAAUUCGAUGCAACGCGAAAAACCUUACCUACCCUUGACAUGUCUGGAAUCCUGAAGAGAUUUAGGAGUGCUCGAAAGAGAACCGGAACACAGGUGCUGCAUGGCCGUCGUCAGCUCGUGUCGUGAGAUGUUGGGUUAAGUCCCGCAACGAGCGCAACCCUUGUCAUUAGUUGCUACGAAAGGGCACUCUAAUGAGACUGCCGGUGACAAACCGGAGGAAGGUGGGGAUGACGUCAGGUCCUCAUGGCCCUUAUGGGUAGGGCUUCACACGUCAUACAAUGGUCGGGACAGAGGGCAGCCAACCCGCGAGGGGGAGCCAAUCCCAGAAACCCGAUCGUAGUCCGGAUUGCAGUCUGCAACUCGACUGCAUGAAGUCGGAAUCGCUAGUAAUCGCGGAUCAGCAUGUCGCGGUGAAUACGUUCCCGGGUCUUGUACACACCGCCCGUCACACCAUGGGAGUGGGUUCUACCAGAAGUAGGUAGCCUAACCGUAAGGAGGGCGCUUACCACGGUAGGGUUCAUGACUGGGGUGAAGUCGUAACAAGGUAGCCGUAUCGGAAGGUGCGGCUGGAUCACCUCCUUU